Molecule: ribosomal RNA, 468 nt
Filed under: uncultured bacterium
Lineage: Bacteria
Description: partial 16S ribosomal RNA
Rfam family: Bacterial small subunit ribosomal RNA
Source: RNAcentral
GACGAACGCUGGCGGCGUGCUUAACACAUGCAAGUCGAACGGAAAGGCCCUGCUUUUGUGGGGUGCUCGAGUGGCGAACGGGUGAGUAACACGUGAGUAACCUGCCCUUGACUUUGGGAUAACUUCAGGAAACUGGGGCUAAUACCGGAUAGGAGCUCCUGCUGCAUGGUGGGGGUUGGAAAGUUUCGGCGGAUGGGGAUGGACUCGCGGCUUAUCAGCUUGUUGGUGGGGUAGUGGCUUACCAAGGCUUUGACGGGUAGCCGGCCUGAGAGGGUGACCGGCCACAUUGGGACUGAGAUGCGGCCCAGACUCCUACGGGAGGCAGCAGUGGGGAAUAUUGCACAAUGGGCGGAAGCCUGAUGCAGCAACGCCGCGUGCGGGAUGACGGCCUUCGGGUUGUAAACCGCUUUCGCCUGUGACGAAGCGUGAGUGACGGUAAUGGGUAAAGAAGCACCGGCUAACUACGUG